RNAcentral lists this unclassified non-coding RNA (381 nucleotides) under uncultured Oligoflexales bacterium. RNAcentral's name for it is "contains 16S-23S intergenic spacer region". The record is from RNAcentral. Lineage: Bacteria; Pseudomonadati; Bdellovibrionota; Oligoflexia; Oligoflexales.
UCCGGUUUAACACCGGCAGUCUCUCUAGAGUGCCCAACUUAAUGAUGGCAACUAAAGACAAGGGUUGCGCUCGUUGCCGGACUUAACCGAACAUCUCACGACACGAGCUGACGACAGCCAUGCAGCACCUGUGUCCUCUGUCCCCGAAGGGCCCCUCCGUGUUUCCACAGAGGUUCAGAGGCAUGUCAAGGCUAGGUAAGGUUUUGCGCGUUGCUUCGAAUUAAACCACAUAAUCCACCGCUUGUGCGGGUCCCCGUCAAUUCCUUUGAGUUUUAAUCUUGCGACCGUACUCCCCAGGCGGGAUGCUUAACGCGUUAGCUAGACUACAGCGGGGGUCAAUACCCGCUACAGUGAGCAUCCAUCGUUUAGGGCGUGGACUAC